UCAAAAACUCCUUUUGCCAUUUGGCUUUUAUUAUGAAAAAUUUAAAUAAUAGUGGUUACCCAUAAAAAACACCAAUACACCAAAGUUUUUGAGAAGAACUACGGUGCUCUAAUUCUUUUUGAUACGUAGGCAUUGGUUUGCAAGACCUAAGCGAGCACAAUAAUAAAAUCUUUUCUUUUUCUUUGUUAAUAAUUCAUUUUCAUGCAUUCCCUUCGCAACCUAGCUUUAGACUUGACACACCCUUUAAUUAGAACAACAAGAGUGGAUCCUGUAGAGUACUAUAGACGUGAGGGGUGCUAAUACCUUCCCUUGCGUAAUCGACUCCCUUACCCAUCUCUGGGUUGCGAG
This 348-nucleotide long non-coding RNA is filed under the name Lathyrus oleraceus (garden pea). RNAcentral describes it as "Pisum sativum (pea) long non-coding RNA (PSAT_LNC029111)". Lineage: Eukaryota; Viridiplantae; Streptophyta; Magnoliopsida; Fabales; Fabaceae. The record is from RNAcentral.